This 95-nucleotide ribosomal RNA is filed under the name Acinetobacter baumannii. RNAcentral's name for it is "partial 23S ribosomal RNA". The stretch from base 1 to 77 matches the Rfam family "Bacterial large subunit ribosomal RNA", at positions 2849 to 2925 of the family's 2925-position model. RNAcentral also lists the same sequence under 1 other name. The record is from RNAcentral. Lineage: Bacteria; Pseudomonadati; Pseudomonadota; Gammaproteobacteria; Moraxellales; Moraxellaceae.
GACGUUGAUAGGUUGGAUGUGGAAGCAUAGUGAUAUGUGAAGCUGACCAAUACUAAUUGCUCGUGAGGCUUGACUAUACAACACCCAAGCAGUUG